UACGUAGGGGGCAAGCGUUGUCCGGAAUCAUUGGGCGUAAAGAGCGUGUAGGCGGCCCGGUAAGUCCGCUGUGAAAGUCCAGGGCUCAACCCUGGAAUGCCGGUGGAAACUGUCGGGCUAGAGUCCGGAAGAGGCGAGUGGAAUUCCUGGUGUAGCGGUGAAAUGCGCAGAUAUCAGGAGGAACACCAAUGGCGAAGGCAGCGCGCUGGGACGGUACUGACGCUGAGACGCGAAAGCGUGGGGAGCAAACAGG
RNAcentral lists this ribosomal RNA (253 nucleotides) under uncultured bacterium. RNAcentral's name for it is "partial 16S ribosomal RNA". It matches the Rfam family "Bacterial small subunit ribosomal RNA", at positions 524 to 776 of the family's 1533-position model. The record is from RNAcentral.